RNAcentral lists this long non-coding RNA (376 nucleotides) under Populus tremula. RNAcentral describes it as "long non-coding RNA (PTRE_LNC001825)". The record is from RNAcentral. Lineage: Eukaryota; Viridiplantae; Streptophyta; Magnoliopsida; Malpighiales; Salicaceae.
GUGCUAUGGGUUCUUUUGUUUGUGGGUGAAGAAUGUUCACGUGGCGGUGGUGGUGGCGGUGGUGGUCAGCGGUGGCAUUUUGUGUGCGGAGGGUUUUUUUUAUACAUGUAGGGUGGUGUCUGUACUGUAAGAUAAAGAGAUCUGAUGAGGAAACCAAAGCGAAAGGUUUGUCUUGUUGUGAGGCUUAGAGAGAGAAAGAUGAGGUAUCAUAGUUGGUGUCCAAGAGACUAUAUAAGGUGGGAGGAAAAGAGUGGAAGCAUUUGUGGGUUUGAGCAAGUUCUGGGUAUCUAAAUUAAAUUUGGAGAGAGAAAUAUCAAGAAUCCAUACAAUAAUACUGUGUGAGAGAGAGGGAGGGGUAUCUUAUUUUGUGUUAAAG